Molecule: long non-coding RNA, 574 nt
Organism: Tachysurus vachellii
Lineage: Eukaryota; Metazoa; Chordata; Actinopteri; Siluriformes; Bagridae
Exons: 3
Source: RefSeq, a predicted model, not a curated record
AGCCCUCAUCACUCCUCGCACUGCACCCCGCACCCUCCGAUCUACCAGCACUGCUCCACUGGUCCCACCAUCUCUCAGGGUAAGAGGAGGGUGAGAGCGAGAGGCUCACAGAAUCCUCCAAGAAGAGAAGGAGGAGAUGAUGAAGACUCUGGCACAUGAAGAGGAGUUACAACAUUUCUUCUCAAAAAUACAUGGCUACUUUUGUGAACCCUGUGUGUGUGUGUGUGUGUGAGUGCAUGUGUGUGUGCAUGUGUGUAUAUGUACUGGUUUCUUCCUAUUUUUAAACUACCCUUAUGAGUGUGAACAUGUGAAAGCAUCUGAGUUUGAACUACACGUGUGUUUUAGGAGUACGAGCGAGAGCAGGAGGCUCACAGUAUCCUCCAGGCUGAGAACAGUGAGUCCAUCACUCACCUGGAGGAAGAGAACAAUGAGAGGAAGAAGACUCUGAUUGACCAGAAGGAGUUACUGAAGGUCAAUCUGGGUGAAGGUGAGGAGAAACAGCAGAACCAUCAGGAGGUCAUCACUCAGCUGGAGGAGGAGAACAAUGAGAUGAUGAAGACUCUGAUACACAAGG